UACGUAGGGGGCAAGCGUUGUCCGGAAUCAUUGGGCGUAAAGAGCGCGUAGGCGGCCAGAUAAGUCCGGUGUGAAAGUCAAAGGCUCAACCUUUGAAUGCCGCUGGAAACUGUCUGGCUAGAGUCCGGGAGGGGCGAGUGGAAUUCCUGGUGUAGCGGUGAAAUGCGCAGAUAUCAGGAGGAACACCAAUGGCGAAGGCAGCUCGCUGGAACGGUACUGACGCUGAGGCGCGAAAGCUAGGGGAGCAAACGGG
Molecule: ribosomal RNA, 253 nt
Filed under: uncultured bacterium
Lineage: Bacteria
Description: partial 16S ribosomal RNA
Rfam family: Bacterial small subunit ribosomal RNA
Source: RNAcentral